UAGGGAAUCUUCGGCAAUGGACGAAAGUCUGACCGAGCAACGCCGCGUGAGUGAAGAAGGUUUUCGGGUCGUAAAACUCUGUUGUUAGAGAAGAACAAGGACGUUAGUAACUGAACGUCCCCUGACGGUAUCUAACCAGAAAGCCACGGCUAACUACGUGCCAGCAGCCGCGGUAAUACGUAGGUGGCAAGCGUUGUCCGGAUUUAUUGGGCGUAAAGCGAGCGCAGGCGGUUUCUUAAGUCUGAUGUGAAAGCCCCCGGCUCAACCGGGGAGGGUCAUUGGAAACUGGGAGACUUGAGUGCAGAAGAGGAGAGUGGAAUUCCAUGUGUAGCGGUGAAAUGCGUAGAUAUAUGGAGGAACACCAGUGGCGAAGGCGGCUCUCUGGUCUGUAACUGACGCUGAGGCUCGAAAGCGUGGGGAGCAAACAGG
RNAcentral lists this ribosomal RNA (429 nucleotides) under Chloroflexota bacterium. Its description in RNAcentral is "Chloroflexi bacterium partial 16S ribosomal RNA". It matches the Rfam family "Bacterial small subunit ribosomal RNA", at positions 355 to 776 of the family's 1533-position model. Lineage: Bacteria; Bacillati; Chloroflexota. RNAcentral also lists the same sequence under 1 other name. The record is from RNAcentral.